This 491-nucleotide ribosomal RNA is filed under the name uncultured bacterium. RNAcentral's name for it is "partial 16S ribosomal RNA". It matches the Rfam family "Bacterial small subunit ribosomal RNA", at positions 29 to 507 of the family's 1533-position model. The record is from RNAcentral.
AUGAACGCUGGCUACAGGCUUAACACAUGCAAGUCGAGGGGAAACGGCAUUGAGUGCUUGCACUGAAUGGCCGUCGACCGGCGCACGGGUGAGUAACGCGUAUCCAACCUUCCCGUUACUGCGGGAUAACCUGCCGAAAGGCAGACUAAUACCGCAUGUUCUUCGAUGACGGCAUCAGAUUCGAAGCAAAGAUCCGUCGGUAACGGAGGGGGAUGCGUCUGAUUAGCUAGUUGGCGGGGCGACGGCCCACCAAGGCGACGAUCAGUAGGGGUUCUGAGAGGAAGGUCCCCCACAUUGGAACUGAGACACGGUCCAAACUCCUACGGGAGGCAGCAGUGAGGAAGAUUGGUCAAUGGGCGGAAGCCUGAACCAGCCAAGUAGCGUGCAGGAUGACGGCCCUACGGGUUGUAAACUGCUUUUAUGCGGGGAUAAAGUGAGGGACGCGUCCCUUUUUGCAGGUACCGCAUGAAUAAGGACCGGCUAAUUCCGUG